Molecule: ribosomal RNA, 231 nt
Filed under: uncultured bacterium
Lineage: Bacteria
Description: partial 16S ribosomal RNA
Rfam family: Bacterial small subunit ribosomal RNA
Source: RNAcentral
CGGGACGGGUGAGUAAUGUCUGGGAAACUGCCUGAUGGAGGGGGAUAACUACUGGAAACGGUAGCUAUACCGCAUAACGUCGCAAGACCAAAGAGGGGGACCUUCGGGCCUCUUGCCAUCGGAUGUGCCCAGAUGGGAUUAGCUAGUAGGUGGGGUAACGGCUCACCUAGGCGACGAUCCCUAGCUGGUCUGAGAGGAUGCCAGCCACACUGGAACUGAGACACGGUCCAG